RNAcentral lists this ribosomal RNA (253 nucleotides) under uncultured bacterium. RNAcentral's name for it is "partial 16S ribosomal RNA". It matches the Rfam family "Bacterial small subunit ribosomal RNA", at positions 524 to 776 of the family's 1533-position model. The record is from RNAcentral.
GACAGAGGUGGCAAGCGUUGUUCGGAUUUACUGGGCGUAAAGAGAGCGUAGGCGGCCGUGUAUGUCGGGUGUGAAAUCUCUCGGCUUAACCGAGAAACUGCAUUCGAAACUGCACGGCUAGAGGACAGGAGGGGGAAGUGGAAUUCCCGGUGUAGCGGUGAAAUGCGUAGAGAUCAGGGAGAACACCGGUGGCGAAAGCGCUCUGCUGGACCUUAACUGACACUGAGGGACGAAAGCUAGGGGAGCGAAUGGG